GACGAACGCUGGCGGCGUGCUUAACACAUGCAAGUCGAACGGUGAAGCGCCUUCCUUUUUGGUGGGUGUGGAUGAGUGGCGAACGGGUGAGUAACACGUGAGUAACCUGCCCCCUUCUUCUGGAUAACCGCAUGAAAGUGUGGCUAAUACGGGAUAUUCUGGGUCUGUCGCAUGAUGGGUCUGGGCAAGAUAUUGUUUCGGUGGGGGGUGGGCUCGCGGCCUAUCAGCUUGUUGGUGGGGUGAUGGCCUACCAAGGCGGUGACGGGUAGCCGGCCUGAGAGGGUGGACGGUCACACUGGGACUGAGACACGGCCCAGACUCCUACGGGAGGCAGCAGUGGGGAAUAUUGCACAAUGGGCGCAAGCCUGAUGCAGCGACGCCGCGUGAGGGAUGGAGGCCUUCGGGUUGUGAACCUCUUUCGCCAGUGAAGCAGGCCUGCCUCGUUUGUGGGUGGGUUGACGGUAGCUGGAUAAGAAGCGCCGGCUAACUACGUG
Molecule: ribosomal RNA, 494 nt
Filed under: uncultured bacterium
Lineage: Bacteria
Description: partial 16S ribosomal RNA
Rfam family: Bacterial small subunit ribosomal RNA
Source: RNAcentral